This 347-nucleotide ribosomal RNA is filed under the name uncultured bacterium. RNAcentral's name for it is "partial 16S ribosomal RNA". It matches the Rfam family "Bacterial small subunit ribosomal RNA", at positions 338 to 699 of the family's 1533-position model. The record is from RNAcentral.
CCUACGGGCGGCAGCAGUGGGGAAUAUUGGGCAAUGGAGGAAACUCUGACCCAGCAAUGCCGCGUGAAUGAUGAAGGUCUUCGGAUUGUAAAGUUCUUUUCUAAGGGAAGAAGAAAGCGAUGCUACCUUAGGAAUAAGCCUCGGCUAACUACGUGCCAGCAGCCGCGGUAAUACGUAGGAGGCGAGCGUUAGCCGGAAUGACUGGGUGUAAAGGGUGCGUAGGUGGUUUGGCAAGUUAGGAGCGUAACUCCAAGGCUCAACCUUGGAACUACUACUAACACUGUUGGACUUGAGUGUAGGAGCGGUAAGCGGAAUGCAUGGUGUAGCGGUGGAAUGCGUAGAUAUUA